RNAcentral lists this ribosomal RNA (268 nucleotides) under uncultured bacterium. Its description in RNAcentral is "partial 16S ribosomal RNA". It matches the Rfam family "Bacterial small subunit ribosomal RNA", at positions 337 to 622 of the family's 1533-position model. The record is from RNAcentral.
UCCUACGGGGCGCAGCAGUGGGGGAUAUUGCACAAUGGGGGGAACCCUGAUGCAGCGACGCCGCGUGAAGGAAGAAGUAUCUCGGUAUGUAAACUUCUAUCCGCAGGGAAGAAAAUGACGGUACCUGACGAAGAAGCCCCGGCUAACUACGUGCCAGCAGCCGCGGUAAUACGUAGGGGGCAAGCGUUAUCCGGAUUUACUGGGUGUAAAGGGGGCGUAGGUGGCAUGGUAAGCCAGAAGUGAAAACCCAGGGCUCAACUCUGUGGAU